Molecule: RNA transcript, 2088 nt
Organism: Olea europaea var. sylvestris
Lineage: Eukaryota; Viridiplantae; Streptophyta; Magnoliopsida; Lamiales; Oleaceae
Gene name: leucine aminopeptidase 2, chloroplastic-like
Exons: 10
Source: RefSeq, a predicted model, not a curated record
GCUAAAUUCAGACAACAGUUACAAGUUACAAAUUGCCGGCAUUAGAGGUCUACAAGCUCCAACUUCUUCUUCUUGUUACUAUCCUUCUCCACUCCCACCCCCUAGAUUUUCAGGAAUUUGCCGUUUGGCUCCAUCUGGGCUUUAUCUUCUACAGUCUCACACUUCUCUUCCAGAAGGGCAAAACGAAUGGCUCACUCAAUUGCCAAGGCCACACUUGGCCUCACACGACCAAACAAAAUCGAGCACCCAAAGAUAUCAUUUGUGGCAAAAGAGAUUGACUUGUUAGAAUGGAAAGGAGACAUACUUGCAGUAGGCACAACUGAGACAGACGUGGUCAAAGAUGAGAAUUCAAAGUUCAAAAAUUUAAUCCUGCAAAAACUAGAUUCACAAUUAGGUGGUUCGUUGUCUAAAGCAUCAUCGGAGGAGGAUUUUACUGGAAAGGCUGGACAGUCAACAGUUCUUAGGCUUCCCAAUCUUGGCUUGAAAAGAGUAUGUCUAAUUGGCCUUGGAUCAGCGGCAUCAGCAACUGCUGCUUAUCACAGUCUUGGUGAAGCAGUUGCUGCAGCAGCUAAGUCUGCUCGGGCAAGUAAUGUUGCAAUCAUACUUGCUUCUUCCGCAGAGCUCACUACUGAAUCAAAGCAAAGCGUUGCUUCAGCAAUAGUAACUGGAUCUGUAUUGGGGACUUAUGAUGACAAUAGAUUCAAGUCAGAGUCAAAAAAAGGGACUCUCAAAGCCGUGGAAAUUCUUGGUCUUGGCACCGGACCUGAGAUGGUAAAAAAACUCAAGAAUGCAGAAUAUGUUUGUUCUGGGAUAAUUUAUGGAAAAGAGCUAGUAAAUGCACCUGCUAAUGUACUCACACCUGGAGUACUAGCAGAAGAGGCCAAAAGGAUUGCUUCUGAGCACAGUGAUGUUCUUUCUGCAACCAUCUUGGAUGUAGAGCAGUGCGAAGAAUUAAAAAUGGGUUCUUAUCUUGGUGUUGCAGCAGCAUCUGCUAAUCCUCCGCAUUUCAUCCACUUAUGUUACAGGCCCCCCGGUGGAGAAGUCAAAACCAAGCUGGCCUUAGUUGGAAAGGGGUUGACGUUUGACAGUGGUGGCUACAAUAUCAAGACAGGACCAGGUUGCCUCAUUGAGCACAUGAAAUUUGACAUGGCAGGUUCAGCAGCCGUGUUGGGUGCAGCAAAGGCUCUUGGUCAAAUCAAGCCAGCUGGAGUAGAGGUUCAUUUCAUUGUUGCAGCUUGUGAGAAUAUGAUAAGUGGAACAGGCAUGAGGCCUGGCGAUAUUGUUACUGCAUCAAAUGGAAAGACAAUUGAGGUAAACAAUACUGAUGCUGAAGGAAGACUUACACUUGCAGAUGCUUUGGUAUAUGCUUGCAAUCAAGGAGCGGAGAAGAUUGUUGAUUUAGCCACAUUGACUCGGGCUUGUGUUGUUGCUCUCGGACCCUCUAUUGCUGGUGUUUUACCCCCAGUGAUGACCUGGCAAAUGAGGUACUUGCAGCCUCAGAGGUAAGUGGUGAAAAACUUUGGAGGAUGCCCCUGGAAGAAAGUUACUGGGAGUUCAUGAAAUCUGGAGUGGCUGAUAUGGUUAACACCGGUAGUCACCAAGGUGGCUCCAUCACUGCAGCUCUUUUCUUGAAGCAGUUUGUUGAUGAGAAGGUCCAGUGGAUGCACAUUGAUAUGUCUGGCCCUGUUCGCAAUGACAAGAAGAAAACUGCAACCGGUUUUGGUAUUUCAACUCUGGUUGCAUGGGUUCUGAAGAAUUCUUCUUAGUUUGGGCCUGCUCGGAUGACAAAUACCAUGUAUCUGAAGGAGGUCGAAGAAAAACGGGAAAGAUGUUAUUCAUGUUGUUCGAUGCUGGGUGUCGAGUUAUACUAAUAAAGACCGUUUCAGAAAAGAAAACGAGGCCAUUGCUGUGUUUUGGUUUUUUCAACUCUUGUUACUGUCCCUUUGGAGUAUGAAGUUUUCUUUUAUUUUUGGCCUUUUUGUCAAUGUUCAUUAUGUUCUUGUUGCUGGGAAAAUUGAAAAUUAAAGUAUGAAAAAUGUGAGGUAGAACUUUUUGUUCCCGUAAAAAUGAAUACAGAUUGUUCUUCAA